RNAcentral lists this ribosomal RNA (465 nucleotides) under uncultured Klebsiella sp. RNAcentral's name for it is "bacterial SSU rRNA". It matches the Rfam family "Bacterial small subunit ribosomal RNA", at positions 338 to 795 of the family's 1533-position model. Lineage: Bacteria; Pseudomonadati; Pseudomonadota; Gammaproteobacteria; Enterobacterales; Enterobacteriaceae. The record is from RNAcentral.
CCUACGGGUGGCUGCAGUGGGGAAUAUUGCACAAUGGGCGCAAGCCUGAUGCAGCCAUGCCGCGUGUGUGAAGAAGGCCUUCGGGUUGUAAAGCACUUUCAGCGGGGAGGAAGGCGGUGAGGUUAAUAACCUCAUCGAUUGACGUUACCCGCAGAAGAAGCACCGGCUAACUCCGUGCCAGCAGCCGCGGUAAUACGGAGGGUGCAAGCGUUAAUCGGAAUUACUGGGCGUAAAGUGCACGCAGGCGGUCUGUCAAGUCGGAUGUGAAAUCCCCGGGCUCAACCUGGGAACUGCAUUCGAAACUGGCAGGCUAGAGUCUUGUAGAGGGGGGUAGAAUUCCAGGUGUAGCGGUGAAAUGCGUAGAGAUCUGGAGGAAUACCGGUGGCGAAGGCGGCCCCCUGGACAAAGACUGACGCUCAGGUGCGAAAGCGUGGGGAGCAAACAGGAUUAGAUACCCGUGUAGUC